Molecule: small RNA, 22 nt
Filed under: Arabidopsis thaliana (thale cress)
Lineage: Eukaryota; Viridiplantae; Streptophyta; Magnoliopsida; Brassicales; Brassicaceae
Description: ATSL181520
Source: RNAcentral
UUCGAACCCCACAGCCUGCAUU